Long non-coding RNA from Salmo salar (Atlantic salmon), 955 nucleotides. RefSeq lists it as uncharacterized. NCBI's taxonomy places the organism in Eukaryota, Metazoa, Chordata, Actinopteri, Salmoniformes, Salmonidae. The record is from RefSeq and is a predicted model, not a curated record.
CAAGAAUGCCGAUAGACAAAAAAAUAUCAUAUUGUAGGCUAUGUUACAACAAAGACAUCAUCUUGUGAUGAUGGGCAGAGACAAGCGGGAUAAUCAACAUUUUUAUCCUCCUGUUUAAUUUAAUUAUUUGAAGACAUGGAAAACUGCCUGUUUUCACACAUGACAAUUGCAAAGGCAUUCAUUGAUGCAGCGUUGUGUAACUGAGUUAACCAUUUAUCAACAUAUGAAUUAGUAAUUUUUGUUAAACUACUGAAAUAAUUAUGAAAAGCACUAGAGAGCCGUUUCACUGAUUAUUAAUUGAUUAUCUUGCAUUUCAAAUCUGAGGGUCAAAAGAGGCUGAGGACAUGACUAAUAGGCUACCCCCAUUAUGAAUGUCAACAUCCUUGAUCGAAGUAGUCAGAGUUUUUAGGGUAGGAACUCCAUGUGACUCUUUUUCCCAUGUACCCAAUUUAAGUUGUUUACUAUCAGUUAUCUGUCUGUUAAAGUUUCCAAUGCAGCUGUUGUUCUCUCAAAGUCAAAUAAUUUCUGGGUAAAAAUGAAGUACCUUAAUUGUCAAAAAGAAACAAAAAAUAGCUUCAGAGCAAAGAGCAAUUUGUCAAGCAAGAAUUUAGCUAGGACUGUCUGAGAGUUGUCUGAGUGGGGAGGGGAAAACAAAGAAAUGUGCUGUUAUUGGCAGAGAGGUUUGGAACUCUCUUUCUUAUUGGUCUAUUAACUCAUUUCCUGCCUUGUGUUUUCACCAGGCAUGCCAAAACUCCAUCCCACCAAAACAGGCUGAAAUUCAAACAGCUGUCUUUUCAACUAGCUCUUACACUAAAAGAGCAUUAUUAUAAUUUUCAAAAUUUCACAGUAUUAUUCCAAACUAAUAGUGUGCCAAUAUAUAUACAACACUGGGCUUUUAAGGAUUGGAGCGAACAGCUGCAAGCCAACCAGGUAGAAAAAUGGCAGAAAAAUGGCA